This 245-nucleotide ribosomal RNA is filed under the name uncultured bacterium. RNAcentral's name for it is "partial 16S ribosomal RNA". It matches the Rfam family "Bacterial small subunit ribosomal RNA", at positions 524 to 768 of the family's 1533-position model. The record is from RNAcentral.
UACGUAGGGUGCAAGCGUUGUUCGGAAUCACUGGGCGUAAAGGGAGAGUAGGCGGGAAGGUAAGUUAGGAGUUUAAUGUACCGGCUUAACCGGUAAUCUGCUUCUAAUACUGCUUUUCUUGAGUAUGGGAGAGGGAAAUGGAAUUCCAGGUGUAGCGGUGGAAUGCGUAGAUAUCUGGAAGAACACCAGCUGCGAAGGCGGUUUCCUGGCCCAAUACUGACGCUGAGGCUCGAAAGCUAGGGGAG